Molecule: long non-coding RNA, 5431 nt
Filed under: Brassica napus (rape)
Lineage: Eukaryota; Viridiplantae; Streptophyta; Magnoliopsida; Brassicales; Brassicaceae
Description: long non-coding RNA (BNAP_LNC010272)
Source: RNAcentral
UGGUCUAUCGGCAGAUGAUAUGAAGCUGAAGCGUAGGCGGUCGUUGGAAGUUGUGGAGAGAGAAGCGAUGUAGGAGGAAUAGCUUGUUGUUUGGAAUCCGUGCAUGGAAGGGAUGAUGAUGACGGUGAUGGAGAGAUGAUCAUCGUUGUCAAGGAGGAGCUUAGCAACCUCCACUAGUGGCCGGAGGUGGCCGUCACCAGUUGAUGGUAUGAGGACUAGCUCCAGUUUCAUUUUGUGGUUUUUGAAAAAUAGUUGAGAGAGAAAGGUAUGGCCUAAUUAGUGAAAUACUUUUCUUCACAGUUAGAUAGUUGUACGAGCAUAUGGCUUCUUAAAUACAACAUUCUACCUGUCAACAAAAAUCUUAUGAUUCAAUCACUAGCUGCCAUUUGUCUAAUAUCCAUUGGCGACGAAUGCCAAGCCAAUAUAAUUUUAUUUUCUUCCCUUUGAGGGCUGCCUUUGAUUUCGUUGCUACGUUUGAAAUUGUUUUGCAGAGACGAAUCACAAUUCGAUGAGCUGAUGGGCUUUCCGAUAUCUAGAUUUUGAGAUUUUGGGCCUAGGAUGAUAUUUGCAUGAUUGCAUCGUUUGAGGUUUUCUGGUUGAAAGUUAAACCAAAUGCAAAUCCCUCAUUUCUGAGUUUUUUUUUCUUCUCCUAGCAGCAGGGUUUUUAAAACCGGACCGACCGAUAGUUAAACCGGUUCGACCGUGAACCCGUUACAUAGCCGGGUUGGAUCUAAUAAUUGGGUCGGACAUGAACAAAUCAUAUAGCUGGAUUGGAUCUGAAAGUUAUUAAACUGAUAAAAACCAUAAAACUAUCAAAAAUCUAUAAACCAUCCAUAUAAACAUAAAACUAGUUUAUAUUUAUAAUUUUUUACGUUUUAAAUUCAUUUAUAUUUUAACUAUAUAUGUAUCAAUAUUUAUUAACAUUACUUUUAAAUUUAUACACUAGAAAUAUAUUACACCAGAUUACUGAACCAGGUUUGAUCCGGUCGAACCAUAUUGAACUGUGACCCAAAAAUUAUCCGAUUCAGCUUCGGGUCCGGUUUUAAAAACACUGCUUAGCAGAUUUUAUGAUAUAUAUAUAUAUGUAUUUAGUUGAAAAUAUUUUAAUUAGAUUCGAAAUAAACCAAAAAAUCUAGAUUUGGCAUGUAAAUAUGUAAUACGAAAAAAUUGACUAGUUAUUUAUACAUAACUCUUUUUGGUAUUGUACAACAAAGCUUUUGAUUGGUAGAACAUUUAUAAAACAUCAUGUUCUUUCAUUAUCUAAUCAACUGUUAUUAAAUUAUCAUUUUGAAAAUAGUUAGAGAAUACAAAUCCUCUUCAAGUACUCUGCGCUCAAUGUUUCAUGCUAUUUUGUUUUCUUUCUGACAAUUUCUUUCAAAAUUUGUUGUACUGAAUCAAAAAAAUGAACGCAUUAAUGAUCGGAAUGCUCACUUGCACCUCGCUCAUUUGUUUCUUGAAAAGAUUUUAUACUUUUCCAUCAACUCCUUCUCAAACUUUGCGGAGAAAUGAAGCUUAAAUUCAUAAGGAGGAGGUAUAAAUGAAGUCUCUUUUGAUGAUGAAGUUGCCCAUUUCUUAUGUGAAUCCUUUUGUUCUCCUCAAACAACCUUUUCCUUGCCUUUUGAUUCCACUAUCUUCUCAAGAAUUUCUUGAUUCUUUUCUUCACUCAAAAUAUUAUAGUAUCGUCAUAUAAAUUGAUGAUCAUCUCCUUCUUUGUUUGUUAUUGUCUUUAAUAAAAUUCGAGAAAGUUUAUCCUUCCACUCCUAACUGCAGUGUUUUUGAAACCGGACCGACUCGGUAGUUGAACCGGAUUCGAGCAUAACCAGUUACAUAGUCAGGUUGGGUCUAAUAAUUGGGUCGGACAUGAACCAAUUAUAUAGCUGGAUUAGAUCUGAGAGUUAUUAAAAUUAUAAAAUCCAUAACACUAUCAAAAAUAUAUAAAUCAUUCAUAUAAACAUAAAACUAGUUUAUAUUUAUAAUUUUUAUGUUUUAAAUUCAUUUAUGUUUUAAAUAUGUAUCAUAUUUACUAACAUUAUUUUUAAAUUUAUAGACUAGAAAUAUAUUACACCAGAUUAUUGAAUCAGGUUUGAUCCGGUCGAACCAUAUUGAACUGUGACCCAAAAAUUAUCCCGUUCAGCUUCCGAUCCGGUUUUAAAAGCACUGCAUAACUGUAAUAUAGUUGAGGAUUUUCUUUGGGUUUUGUUCCGACUUACCACCACAAUCACUAUAGCACCCAAACUGAUCAAAAUAUAUGCAUUAAUUAAUUUUUACCAUGUUUUCCCUCUAGGUCAACCUAAAGUUCGAAAGUUUUAAGAAGGUUAUAAAUAGGUUUCUGAGGCAACAAUAAAUACAACUAUCUAAUCCUAGAUUUCUUAUUUCCUCUCAUUAUAAGAUCCAUAUUUUGUAAUUCUUUCUCUAGUAUAUUGUAUUACUUUUGAUUUAUCUUGAUUAUAUCUCUUCUAUUCCUUUUAAACACAAAUCUUCAAAGAACUAUAAAAAUACUUUGUAUGUUCAUGUCUUUUGGUAAGUAGUCUUUUGAGUUUUUGGGCUGGGUAGAUUAAGGUGGCUAUGUGUUAGAAUAUAAUGCUUAGGGUUUAGUUUACAAUAAUAAUUGUUUGAUUGAUGUGUUUAUUGCACUUGAUUUCUCUUAAUCUAAAUGUUAAAUACUUUCAUGUUUGAAAUAUGUUUGAUAUAAUGGUCGAAUGAAUCAAUUAAUUAAUUAAGUGUUUAGUAUAUUUAGCCAAUGUAAGUUGAUUUUAAGAUGUUUAGUGGUUAUUAAGAUUUAAGAGUAAUGCAUUUUAACUUGUGAUUGACCAAUGGAAAUUUGUGUUAACUGCAUGAUAGAGGAUAAAAUUAAAUUAGUGAUUUUAUACCUAAAAAUUAACAAUGGUUGAUUGUGUUAGCAUCUUAUGAUAGUAUUUGAUCACCCAAGUGAAUACCAUAAACAGUAAUGUUUGUAAUUCUUGCAUUUUUGUUGGUUUAACUUUUGAUUAACUUUUUAGAGUUGUUUGUCAUCAAUAAUUUCCUUCUAUUUUUCUAGUAAGUUACUUACUUUUUGUUGAACAAUAUUGUUUUUAAUGAAAAAAAUUAGUUCCUUUUUAUGUAUUAUUUAAUGUGUUUUAAGUAGUUUAUAUUUGGAUACAUGUGUCGUCAGUAUAAAUGUAUUUGAAGUGUAAAAUGAUAAAAUAACAUCAAUGUAUUUAGAAAUAUUAAGAAAAAUUAAGAUAAACUUCACUAUGAAUAAAAACACACUAUACAAUCUAUUCUUUAUAUUUAUAUAAACUUUAUAUACAAUAAUUAUUAAUUUUAUGGCUAUAUGAGAACUAUAUAUAUUUACAUAAAGUUUUUUGAAAACAACUAUUGCAUUGUGUCAUAUUUUACAUUGGCCCAACUUGAAACUGAUUUUUUUUAUUAAUUUAUUAUAUUUAUUAAUUUAUCAAGUAUUAAUUAAUGGAAUUUCUACUGUAUUUGUUUUAACAUAAAGACUUUUUUUUCAACCAAAUGAUUUAUUAAACUUAAAAUGGGUUUGAGACCCAGAGAGCUUGUUUGGCUACAGAGUCAGCCAUAACAUUAAACGGUCUAGAAAUAAACUUAAACACAAUUGACUUAAAUGAUCGAGACCGAAGUUAGAUAUCUCGUAAAACACCAUAGAUCUCCAGCUUCAUGUCUACACCACGAGAAAGAGCAAAGUUUAUUCACACUAAAAAUAACGCAGUUGCUAAAAAAAACUUUAAAACGCCGACCGACCUGAAGUGUGAUUCGUAAAAGCUUUCUGAUUUCUGGAAAUCACGCAUUAAAUCAAAGCUUUUGUAAAGUUUAGAUGAAAAAGAUAAAUAAUCGUUUUGGAAAGAUCUUGAUUAAAGAUUUAACAUCUCCCAAAUUUAUGAGUCAUAUGAUAUAGCCAUUAUUUUGUUUAACAAAAGCAAUAGGAAAUACGUAUGGUAGAAAGCUUCUGUUUAUAUGAAUUGAAUAAAUAAGUUUUUAUUAUUGUAAAUAUAUAUUUUAUUUAGAGUAUUUCUAGUGUAGUUAUGUGUGAAUUUAUUUGAAAGAAUUGAUUGAAAUGCAAAAUUUUGAAAUAAAUUGUUCCAUUUUAUAUGUUUAUAACUAUUUUUAAUAAAUUAUUAUUUUGUAAUUAUGUUUGUGAAUGAACAUGUUGAAGAAUAAAUUGAUAAUUCCAUAGAGAUAGUUACUUGUUAAGUUUCUAGAUUGCAAAGAAUUUCAAAUCUAAAAUUCCUUUAUUUUGAAACUAAAAUCUUUCAUUAAUCGAUGAAAAUUUGGUCUGAUCUUCUUCUGUUUCUUUUUCUUUGUCUUCUCUGGCUCAAUCCGUCCCGCAUAUGACAUGUUUUCAGUCGGACCGAUAAAAAUCAUCUUUGAAACAUACUGAAUAAUAAACCGACUCAUUAACAAUCAGACAUGAUUGGCAUGUUCCGCCACACAGCACAAGCUGGAGAAGAAGAGCUCUGGAGAUAGUGGAGUACCGUACAGAGCCAGAAUUAUUUUUAAUAUAGGGUUAACAUAUUAUGUGUUUUAAAAACAUGAAGCGAAAACUGCAAGAUGGUGACGACUAACAUAGUGUUGCAAAUAUAAUCUGCAAAAUUCACAUAAGCAUUUGACCAAAACAAUUUACAGAAGCAUGAAUACAUCUUCUAUGGUGGUUCGUCAAAACAUUAAGAAUAUAUACCAUCGGACUCACGACUAAGACAUUAAUGUAUUUUAUUUGAAUAAUAUCUUAGGUAAUGUAUAAAAUAAUAAACAUAACUUCGUAUAUUUAGAUGGAUGCGUUGCCAAUUUUAACUAGACAUAAAAUUUGGUUGAUAUAAUAAGACUAUGCUAUAACCUUUGGUUGUAUAUAUAUAUAUAUCCCCUAUAUAUUAUUUGUGAAACAUUACAACUUCUUUUUGUAUCACGUGUCAUCACUAGAAUGAUUCUUAGAAUUAUUAGAGAAAUAUGUUGGUCCAUCUAAUUAUAUAAUAAACUUUUUAUUAAACUAACCAUAAAUUCAUUAUUAAUGUCAUUUAUUAUUUCUUUAAAUAAAGAUUACGGAAUUUCCUAAUAGGGGUAAAGUAUAUAUGACAAUUAAUGAUUUUGAAUAAUAAAGAUCCGGCUCAGCGUCAGGAGAGUUUGGUCUAUCGGCAGAUGAUAUGAAGCUGAAGCGUAGGCGGUCGUUGGAAGUUGUGGAGAGAGAAGCGAUGUAGGAGGAAUAGCUUGUUGUUUGGAAUCCGUGCAUGGAAGGGAUGAUGAUGACGGUGAUGGAGAGAUGAUCAUCGUUGUCGAGGAGGAGCUUAGCAACCUCCACUAGUGGCCGGAGGUGGCCGUCACCAGUUGAUGGUAUGAGGACUAGCUCCAGUUUCAUUUUGUGGUUUUUGAAAAAUAGUUGAGAGAGAAAGGUAUGGUCUAAUUAGUGAAAUACUUUUCUUCACAGUUAGAUAGUUGU